This is a long non-coding RNA of Mauremys reevesii (Reeves's turtle), 351 nucleotides long. RefSeq lists it as uncharacterized. NCBI's taxonomy places the organism in Eukaryota, Metazoa, Chordata, Testudines, Geoemydidae. The record is from RefSeq and is a predicted model, not a curated record. The transcript is spliced from 3 exons.
CAGCAAAUUUAAUGCAUCCUCUGGCCCCUCACUGCCUUCUUUAUGCCCAGUGAAGGCUCCUUAUAUGCCACAAAGGCAUAUCAAGCCUCAUUCAGCAGGAUGAGUGCUCCCUCCUGGGCCACUUCAAGACGUGACCAUCCUUUUCCUGCCCCCGAUCUCUCAGAGGCUCAGAUCUACAGGCAUUACAGAGCUCUACUGGAACAGAGUGGACCUUCUGCCAGAGAGUAAAAGAAGAACACGCCAGGACCCAGAAGAUACCAGAUAAACCGUUGGGACUAGGUGAUCCUAGUGUGCUGUUAAGGGGAAAUUCGUAUCCUAACUCAAAAAAAUUAAAUCGUGAUUAAUCGCAGU